UGAAUACGAGACGCUAAGGCGUCGAAGUAGUGUAUGUCAUACUUCCAAGAAAAGCUUGCACUGUCAUAGAUAAAAAACGCCUGUACCAUAACCGACACAGGUGGGUAGGUAGAGUAUACUAAGGGGCGCGAGAUAACUCUCUCUAAGGAACUCGGCAAAAUAACUCCGUAACUUCGGGAGAAGGAGUGCCUUAUUCGUAAGGUUGCAAUAACAAGAUCCAAGCAACUGUUUAUCAAAAACACAGGUCUCCGCUAAGUCGUAAGACGAUGUAUGGGGGCUGACGCCUGCCCAGUGCCAGAAGGUUAAAGAAGUUGGUUAGCAAUUGCGAAGCUGAUAACUGAAGCCCUGGUGAACGGCGGCCGUAACAAUAACGGUCCUAAGGUAGCGAAAUUCCUUGUCGGGUAAGUUCCGACCCGCACGAAAGGCGUAAUGAUUUGGAUACUGUCUCGGAGAGGGGCUCGGUGAAAUAGACUUGUCUGUGAAGAUGCGGACUACCUGCACCAGGACAGAAAGACCCUAUGAAGCUUUACUGUAACUUGAAAUUGAAAUUGGACUUUAUUCGCGCAGUAUAGGUGGGAGGCGUUGAUUAUAAUCUUGUGGGAUUAUUGGAGCCAUCAGUGAGAUACCACUCUUGUAAUGUUAGAUUUCUAACUUUGAAUCAUUAUCUGGUCAAAGAACAGUUUCAGGCGGGCAGUUUGACUGGGGCGGUCGCCUCCUAAACGGUAACGGAGGCGUACAAAGGUUUCCUCUGAACGGUUAGAAAUCGUAUCUAGAGUGUAAAGGCAUAAGGAAGCUUGACUGUGAGACCUACAAGUCGAGCAGGGACGAAAGUCGGUCUUAGUGAUCUGACGGUACUGAGUGGAAAGGCCGUCACUCAACGGAUAAAAGUUACUCUAGGAUAACAGGCUGAUCUCCCCCAAGAGUUCACAUCGACGGGGAGGUUUGGCACCUCGAUGUCGGCUCAUCGCAUCCUGGGGCGGUAGUACGUCCCAAGGGUUGGGCUGUUCGCCCAUGAAAGCGGUACGCGAGCUGGGUUCAGAACGUCGUGAGACAGUUCGGUCCAUAUCCGGUGUAGGCGUUAGAAUAUUGAGAGGAGCCUUCUUUAGUACGAGAGGACCGAGAAGGACAUACCUCUGGUGUACCAGUUAUCGUGCCAACGGUAAACGCUGGGUAGCUAUGUAUGGAGUGGAUAACCGCUGAAAGCAUCUAAGUGGGAAGCCCACCUCAAGAUAAGUAUUCUC
Molecule: ribosomal RNA, 1241 nt
Filed under: metagenome
Description: bacterial LSU rRNA
Rfam family: Bacterial large subunit ribosomal RNA
Source: RNAcentral